CUAUUACUUGCUGCCUCGCUUUUCAUAGCAGGGGAUCAAUACCUUACCCUUACAGGUGACCUUCAUUAAGCUGCACCGAAAAUACUCUAGACUUUUAUGGCGGCAGCAUUUAGACUUAAACACAUCAUGGACAAAUCUCUACUGUCUUCUUUAUUAUUGACUACAACUCCCAUCAAUCUUGACCAAGCAGAAAAGCCCAACAACAGCACAUUUUCCA
Pelobates cultripes (western spadefoot toad) is the source of this 217-nucleotide non-coding RNA. The record is from the annotation of a GenBank genome assembly. Lineage: Eukaryota; Metazoa; Chordata; Amphibia; Anura; Pelobatidae.